RNAcentral lists this ribosomal RNA (338 nucleotides) under uncultured Nitrospirota bacterium. Its description in RNAcentral is "bacterial SSU rRNA". It matches the Rfam family "Bacterial small subunit ribosomal RNA", at positions 29 to 351 of the family's 1533-position model. The record is from RNAcentral. Lineage: Bacteria; Pseudomonadati; Nitrospirota.
AACGAACGCUGGCGGCGUGCCUAACACAUGCAAGUCGAGCGAGAAAGUCCCGGUAACGGGAUGAGUAAAGCGGCAAACGGGUGAGUAACGCGUGGGUAAUCUACCCUACGGAUCGGGAUAACCUGCCGAAAGGUGGACUAAUACCGGAUGAUGUUUUGCGGUGAUUCCGUGAGAACCAAAGGGGGCGAGCGUAAGCAGCUCUCACCGAAGGAGGAGCCUGCGUCCGAUUAGCUAGUUGGUGAGGUAAUGGCUCACCAAGGCUAAGACGGGUAGCUGGUCUGAGAGGAUGGUCAGCCACACUGGAACUGAGACACUGUCCAGACACCUACGGGAGGCAG